GCGGAUGUAGCCAAGUGGCUCAAGGCAGUG
Molecule: transfer RNA, 30 nt
Filed under: Oxalis corniculata
Lineage: Eukaryota; Viridiplantae; Streptophyta; Magnoliopsida; Oxalidales; Oxalidaceae
Description: partial tRNA-His
Source: RNAcentral